AGAGCGAACGCUGGCGGCGUGCUUAACACAUGCAAGUCGAACGCGCAGCAUUCUGUAGCAAUACAGGGUGUGGGCGCGUGGCGAACGGGUGCGUAACACGUGGAUAACCUUCCUUCAGGUGGGGAAUAACCCAGUGAAAAUUGGGCUAAUACCGCAUAACAAAACGAUGAGACAUCUUGUUGUUUUCAAAGGCGCAAGUCGCCAGAAGAGGGAUCCGCGGCCGAUUAGCUUGUUGGCGAGGUAAUGGCUCACCAAGGCAAUGAUCGGUAGCCGGACUGAGAGGUUGGCCGGCCACACUGGAACUGAGACACGGUCCAGACUCCUACGGGAGGCAGCAGUGGGGAAUCUUGCACAAUGGGCGAAAGCCUGAUGCAGCAACGCCGCGUGGGGAUGAAGCUUCUCGGAGUGUAAACCCCUUUCGACCCGGAAGAACGCCCGCAAGGGUUUGACGGUACGGGUAUAAGGAAGCCCCGGCUAACUACGUGCCAGCAGGCCGCGGUAA
Molecule: ribosomal RNA, 502 nt
Filed under: uncultured bacterium
Lineage: Bacteria
Description: SSU rRNA
Rfam family: Bacterial small subunit ribosomal RNA
Source: RNAcentral